RNAcentral lists this ribosomal RNA (253 nucleotides) under uncultured bacterium. RNAcentral's name for it is "partial 16S ribosomal RNA". It matches the Rfam family "Bacterial small subunit ribosomal RNA", at positions 524 to 776 of the family's 1533-position model. The record is from RNAcentral.
UACGUAGGGUGCGAGCGUUAAUCGGAAUUACUGGGCGUAAAGCGUGCGCAGGCGGUUCGUUGUGUCGGCGGUGAAAGCCCCGGGCUCAACCUGGGAAUGGCCGUUGAAACUGGCGAACUGGAGUGUGGCAGAGGGGGGUGGAAUUCCGCGUGUAGCAGUGAAAUGCGUAGAGAUGCGGAGGAACACCGAUGGCGAAGGCAGCCCCCUGGGCCAAUACUGACGCUCAGGCACGAAAGCGUGGGGAGCAAACAGG